This 352-nucleotide ribosomal RNA is filed under the name uncultured Thauera sp. RNAcentral describes it as "bacterial SSU rRNA". It matches the Rfam family "Bacterial small subunit ribosomal RNA", at positions 1028 to 1382 of the family's 1533-position model. Lineage: Bacteria; Pseudomonadati; Pseudomonadota; Betaproteobacteria; Rhodocyclales; Zoogloeaceae. The record is from RNAcentral.
UCUCACACAGGUGCUGCAUGGCUGUCGUCAGCUCGUGCCGGUGAGGUGUGGGUUAAGUCCGCAACGAGCGCAACCCUCAUCUCUAGUUGCCAUCAUUAAGUUGGGCACUCUAGAGAAACUGCCGCAGUUAAUGCGGAGGAAGGUGGGGAUGACGUCAAGUCCUCAUGGCCCUUAUGGGUAGGGCUUCACACGUCAUACAAUGGUCGGUACAGAGGGUUGCCAAGCCGCGAGGUGGAGCCAAUCCCUUAAAGCCGAUCGUAGUCCGGAUCGUAGUCUGCAACUCGACUACGUGAAGUCGGAAUCGCUAGUAAUCGCGGAUCAGCAUGUCGCGGUGAAUACGUUCCCGGGUCUU